This 231-nucleotide unclassified non-coding RNA is filed under the name fungal sp. RNAcentral describes it as "partial internal transcribed spacer region". The stretch from base 1 to 48 matches the Rfam family "Eukaryotic small subunit ribosomal RNA", at positions 1784 to 1831 of the family's 1831-position model. Lineage: Eukaryota; Fungi. The record is from RNAcentral.
AAAAGUCGUAACAAGGUUUCCGUAGGUGAACCUGCGGAAGGAUCAUCAGUGAAAAAAAUAAAAAUAUUCACUAUUUUACAUACACCCCUUUUUGUGAAACUGAAAAUGUGCACUUGUGCACAUUUUUAUUUUUUAUUUUAAACCCCCCCUUAUUUCCAUAUUCCGUAAAAUAUACCCCCCUUUUUAUUUAAAAAAAAGACACAACUUUUAACAACGGAUCUCUUGGCUCUC